This 24-nucleotide non-coding RNA is filed under the name Arabidopsis thaliana (thale cress). The record is from RNAcentral. Lineage: Eukaryota; Viridiplantae; Streptophyta; Magnoliopsida; Brassicales; Brassicaceae.
CUUCCUGAUAGCUUUCUGGUUCCU